RNAcentral lists this ribosomal RNA (253 nucleotides) under uncultured bacterium. Its description in RNAcentral is "partial 16S ribosomal RNA". It matches the Rfam family "Bacterial small subunit ribosomal RNA", at positions 524 to 776 of the family's 1533-position model. The record is from RNAcentral.
GACGAACCGUGCGAACGUUGUUCGGAAUCACUGGGCUUAAAGGGCGCGUAGGCGGCCGAUCGCGUCCGGGGUGAAAGCUUCCGGCUCAACCGGAACAGUGCCCCGGGUACGGACCGGCUGGAGGGAGGUAGGGGCAGGUGGAACUUCCGGUGGAGCGGUGAAAUGCGUUGAGAUCGGAAGGAACGCCGGUGGCGAAAGCGACCUGCUGGACCUUUUCUGACGCUGAGGCGCGAAAGCUAGGGGAGCGAACGGG